GGUGCUGCAUGGCUGUCGUCAGCUCGUGUUGUGAAAUGUUGGGUUAAGUCCCGCAACGAGCGCAACCCUUAUCCUUUGUUGCCAGCGAUUCGGGCGGGAACUCAAAGGAAACUGCCGGUGAUAAACCGGAGGAAGGGGGGGAUGACGUCAAGUCAUCAUGGCCCUUACGAGUAGGGCUACACACGUGCUACAAUGGCGCAUACAAAGAGAAGCCACCCCCCGAGAGCAAGCGGACCUCACAAAGUGCGUCCUAGUCCGGAUCGGAGUCUGCAACUCCACUCCGUGAAGUCGGAAUCCCUAGUAAUCGUGGAUCAAAAUGCCCCGGUGAAUACGUUCCCGGGUCUUGGACA
Molecule: ribosomal RNA, 350 nt
Filed under: uncultured Gammaproteobacteria bacterium
Lineage: Bacteria; Pseudomonadati; Pseudomonadota; Gammaproteobacteria
Description: bacterial SSU rRNA
Rfam family: Bacterial small subunit ribosomal RNA
Source: RNAcentral